AAAUUGAAGAGUUUGAUCAUGGCUCAGAUUGAACGCUGGCGGCAGGCCUAACACAUGCAAGUCGAACGGUAACAGGAAGCAGCUUGCUGCUUCGCUGACGAGUGGCGGACGGGUGAGUAAUGUCUGGGAAACUGCCUGAUGGAGGGGGAUAACUACUGGAAACGGUGGCUAAUACCGCAUAAUGUCGCAAGACCAAAGAGGGGGACCUUCGGGCCUCUUGCCAUCAGAUGUGCCCAGAUGGGAUUAGCUUGUUGGUGAGGUAACGGCUCACCAAGGCGACGAUCCCUAGCUGGUCUGAGAGGAUGACCAGCCACACUGGAACUGAGACACGGUCCAGACUCCUACGGGAGGCAGCAGUGGGGAAUAUUGCACAAUGGGCGCAAGCCUGAUGCAGCCAUGCCGCGUGUAUGAAGAAGGCCUUCGGGUUGUAAAGUACUUUCAGCGGGGAGGAAGGUGUUGUGGUUAAUAACCACAGCAAUUGACGUUACCCGCAGAAGAAGCACCGGCUAACUCCGUGCCAGCAGCCGCGGUAAUACGGAGGGUGCAAGCGUUAAUCGGAAUUACUGGGCGUAAAGCGCACGCAGGCGGUCUGUCAAGUCGGAUGUGAAAUCCCCGGGCUCAACCUGGGAACUGCAUUCGAAACUGGCAGGCUUGAGUCUUGUAGAGGGGGGUAGAAUUCCAGGUGUAGCGGUGAAAUGCGUAGAGAUCUGGAGGAAUACCGGUGGCGAAGGCGGCCCCCUGGACAAAGACUGACGCUCAGGUGCGAAAGCGUGGGGAGCAAACAGGAUUAGAUACCCUGGUAGUCCACGCCGUAAACGAUGUCUACUUGGAGGUUGUGCCCUUGAGGCGUGGCUUCCGGAGCUAACGCGUUAAGUAGACCGCCUGGGGAGUACGGCCGCAAGGUUAAAACUCAAAUGAAUUGACGGGGGCCCGCACAAGCGGUGGAGCAUGUGGUUUAAUUCGAUGCAACGCGAAGAACCUUACCUGGUCUUGACAUCCACAGAACUUUCCAGAGAUGGAUUGGUGCCUUCGGGAACUGUGAGACAGGUGCUGCAUGGCUGUCGUCAGCUCGUGUUGUGAAAUGUUGGGUUAAGUCCCGCAACGAGCGCAACCCUUAUCCUUUGUUGCCAGCGAUUCGGUCGGGAACUCAAAGGAGACUGCCAGUGAUAAACUGGAGGAAGGUGGGGAUGACGUCAAGUCAUCAUGGCCCUUACGACCAGGGCUACACACGUGCUACAAUGGCGCAUACAAAGAGAAGCGACCUCGCGAGAGCAAGCGGACCUCAUAAAGUGCGUCGUAGUCCGGAUUGGAGUCUGCAACUCGACUCCAUGAAGUCGGAAUCGCUAGUAAUCGUGGAUCAGAAUGCCACGGUGAAUACGUUCCCGGGCCUUGUACACACCGCCCGUCACACCAUGGGAGUGGGUUGCAAAAGAAGUAGGUAGCUUAACCUUCGGGAGGGCGCUUACCACUUUGUGAUUCAUGACUGGGGUGAAGUCGUAACAAGGUAACCGUAGGGGAACCUGCGGUUGGAUCACCUCCUUACCUUAAAGAAGC
This 1554-nucleotide ribosomal RNA is filed under the name Salmonella enterica. RNAcentral's name for it is "bacterial SSU rRNA". It matches the Rfam family "Bacterial small subunit ribosomal RNA". The record is from RNAcentral. Lineage: Bacteria; Pseudomonadati; Pseudomonadota; Gammaproteobacteria; Enterobacterales; Enterobacteriaceae.